UUCAUUUUUAUUCUAAUCUUGCUUUUCUUAUUUUUUUUCCCAAAUUUCUUUUUAUUUCUUAUUUGCGUUUUUAAAUUCUCGUACUUUUUUUUUUCAAUUUCUCUUUUGGUUUUCAUUUUUAUUUUGCAAUAACUUCUCUUUUUUAAUUUUUUGUCUUUGACUUUUUCUAUUGUUUUUCUUGUUAUUUCUUAUAUGUUUUUCAAUUUUUGUUAUUUUUAAAACUAAUUUUUUUAUUUGUCAUUCUUUUUCACUUUCUAAAUUUUUAUUCAAUUUUUGUAUUUUUGAUUAAUUAUUUUUUAUUUUCUUACUUUUUAUAUUUUUAUUGUAUUUUUGUUUAUUUUUUAUUUUUUUAUUUUUUUGUUUUACUUUAAUAUUCUUUUCUUAUUUUAUUUUUAUUUCUUUCUUUAUUUAAAUUUUCAUAAAUCUUUUGUCUUUUCAUUUUUAUUAUUUUCUUAAUUUUUUCACAAAUUUCUUUUUAUUUCUUAUUUUCAUUUUCAAAUUCUUAUAGUUUUUUUGUUGCAUUUUCUUCUUUGGUUUUCAUUUUUAUUUUGCAUUAACUUUUCUCUUUUUUAAUCUUUUGUCUUUGAUUUUUUAUAUUGUUUUCUUAAUAUUUCUUAUAUGUUUUUCGAUUUUUUGUAUUUUUUAAAAUAUUUUUUUUCUAUUUUGUCAUUUCCUUUCAUUUUUGAAAUUUUUAUUCAAAUUUUGUCUUUUUUUAUUUUUGUUUUUGAUUCUUAUUUUUAUUUUCUUACUUUUAUAUUUUUUUCUUAUUUUUUAAUUUUUAUUUUCUUCUUUAUUUAUAUUUUCAUAAAUUUUUAUAAUGUUUUUUGAUUUUUUAUCUUUUAUCUUUUCUUUUUUUAUUUAUCGUUGUUGGUUAUUUCUAUUGUAUUUUUAAUUUUCCAUUAACUCCUUUUCCUUUUAAAUUUUUCCCUUUUUUUACUUGUUUUUUCAUGUGCUUUCAUAUUUUUUUUUUGUUUUCACUUUUUUCUUUGUUUUAAAAUUUUCUAUAAAACUUUUUUUCUUUUGUUUUAUUUCAUAUUUUUGCCUCUUCAUUUUUUAUUUUUUCUUGUUUUUCGAAUUUUUUUCACAAAAUUCUUUUAUUUCUUGUUUCCAUUUUUUUUUUUUUGCACUUCCUUGUUUUGUUUUUAUUUUUAUUUUGUUUUAACUUUUCCCUCUGUUAAUUUUUGUAUCUUUGAUUUUUUUUAUUUUUUUCUUAUUACAUUAUUUUUGCUUGUAUUUUCUAAAUUAAAUUUUUUCUACUUUGUCAUCCCUUUUCAUUUUUUAACUUCUUUUAAUUUUUUAUCUCUGAUUUUUAUAUCUUUAUAUCUUAUUAUUUGUUAUAUUUUUAUUUUUUGUUUGUAUUUUAUAAACUAAAUUUGUUUUCUAUUUUGUCAUUUUUUCUUCAUUUUUGAAAUUUUUAUUAGCUUUUGUAUUUUACAAUUUUUUCUUUUGACUCGUUAAUUUUUCAUUUCCUCACUUUUUUAUUUUUUCUAUUUUGUGCUCUUUUUAAUUUUUUUUUUCUUUUUUAAUGCUUAUUUUAUCUUUUUUCCUUUCGCUUUAAUAUUUUCUCUUUUUUUUCCUUUUAUUUUUUAUUUUUAUUUUUUUUUUUUUAUAAAAUUUUAUAAUGUUAUGGACAUUAAAACAUUGUUGAAUGAGACUUUGAUUUCAUUAGAAAUUGAAGAUGUUAUGUGCAUGUAUACUAAUUAGAUAUCUAAUUAAAAUCAUCUUGUAUUUUAUCUUGAAAUUUAUUUUUAUUUAUCGUGUAAUUUAUCUAAUUAACAAAAUUAUAUUGUAUAAUAUUUAUCUUUUAUUUAAUAAAAUUUGGAUUAUUUUAUUUAUUAUUUUGGAUUGUAUAAUAUUUAUCUUUUAUUUGAUACAAUUUGUUAAGAGAUAAUAAUUAUCUUUGUUAUUUUCUUUUGGAAUUUUAUUGGCUUAUAUAUAAUAACACUAGUUUGGAAUUGUUAUAUCUAUCGUGUAUUUAUAUUUUUACAUUUUUAACGAUUUAAAAAUUAAAAAUUUUAAAUUUAAAUCAAUAAAUUCAAAUCAAAAUAUUUUGCAUCUAAACUUUCAAAUUCAAAUUAAGUUUUAAAACAUAAAUUAAAGAUUGAACUUUGUAGAAUUUUUUUAUUUCUUUAUUUAUUUCCUUUUUUAAAGCUUUUUGUUUUUUUUUACUUUUUAUACAUUUUCCUAAUUAUUCAUUUAUUAUAUUUUUGUUAUAUAUCUUUUUCUUUUUUUUUUUUUUUUUUUACAAAAAACCUUCUUUCUUAUCUUCAUUAUAUUAUUCUUUCACUACUUAUUUUCUUUUUUACUUUGAUUUUUUUGUUGCUCUAAUCUAAUUGGUCAUUUACAUUAUUUUCUAUUAUUUUUUUCUUUUUGUACUCUUACUUUUAUCUUUUUUUUUUUUUUUUCUUUUUUUUUCUUAAGGUUUUUCUUCUUUUUAAUUUGUGUUUUUUAUCCACACUUCUUUCUUUUGUUUUUAUUUUUUAUUAACUUUUUUCUUUUUUUAAUUUUUUAUCAUUGAUUUUUUUAUAUCUUUAUUUCUUAUUAUUUGUUAUAUUUUUAUUUUUCGUUUGUAUUUUAUAAACUAAAAUUUUUUCUAUUGUCUUUUUCUUUUCUUUUUUCAUUUUUAUUAGUUUUUUAUUUUUUUUUAAUUUUCUUACUUUUUUAAUUGCGUUUUUGUUUAUUUUUAAUUUUUCUCUUUUUUAGUACUUAUUUUAUCUUUUUCCUUUUGCUUUACUAAUCUUUUAUUUUUUAUUGUUAAUUUUUGUUAUUUUUUAUAAAAAUUUUAUAAUGUUAUGGAUAUUUACUUUUAUUUUUUAAUCUUUUCUUCUUUUGGUUUGUUUCAUUUUUUUUGCUAUUAUCUAUUCUAUUUUUAUAAUUUUUCAUUAAUUCCUUUUUUUCUUUUAAUUUAUUUGUUCAUUUGCUUUCAUUCUUUUUGUUUUAAUUAUUUUUAUAUAUUUUGUAUUUUCAUUUUUUAUUGUUUUCUUGCUUUUUCUUAUAUCUUUUUGUUCACACUUUUUUUUAUUCCUUCUUUACAAUUUUAAAAUCUUAGACUUUUGUUUUUUUGUGAACUUCCUUUUGAUUUUAUUUAUAUUUUGUAUUGACUUUUAUUUUACUUUUUGUCUUUGAUUUUUUAUGUCUUUUUUUCUACAUUUGUUUUUUUUUUUUGUUUUUCUUUGUAUAUUCUAAACGAAAAUUUUUUUCUAUUUUAUUUGAAAUUUUUAUUCAUUUUAUCGUUUUAUAUUUUUUUAUUCUCUAAUUUUUUAUUUUCUUACUUUUUUACUUUUUGUUUUUGUUUAUUUUUAAUUGUUAUUUUUUUAGUAUUUUAUUUUAUUUUUUCAUUUAUAUUAAAUUUUUUUUCAAUUUUUGUAUUUUUGAUUCAUUAUUUUUUAUUAUCUUACCUUUUAUAUUUUUAUUGUAUUUUUGUUUCUUUUAUUUUUUUUGUUUUACUUUAAUAUUGUUUUCUUAUUUUAUUUUUAUUUUUUAUUUCUUUCUUUAUUUAAAUUUUCAUAAAUUUUUAGAAUGUUUUGGAUUUUUUAUUUUUCGUAAAUCUUUUGUCUUUUCAUUUUUAUUCUUUUCUUAAAUUUUUUCACAAAUUUCUUUUUAUUUCUUAUUUUCAUUUUCAAAUUCUUAUAGUUUCUUUUGUUGCAUUUUCUUCUUUGGUUUUCAUUUUUAUUUUGAAUUACCUUUUCUCUCUUUUAAUUUUUUGUCUUUGAUUUUUUAUAUUGUUUUCUUAUUAUUUCUUAUAUGUUUUUCAAUUUUUUGUAUUUUUAAAAUAUUUUUUCUAUUUUGUCAUUUCCUUUCAUUUUUGAAAUUUUUAUUCAUUUUUGUCUUUUUUAUUCAUUAUUUUUUAUUUUCUUACUUUUUAUAUUUUUUAUUGUAUUUUUGUUUAUUUUAUAUUUUUGUUUGCUUAAUAUUUUUUUCUUAUUUUUAUUUUUUAUUUCUUUCUUUAUUUAUAUUUCAUUAAUUUUUAUAAUGUUUUGGAUUUUUUUAUUUUUCUAUCUUUUUUCUUUCUUUUUUAUUUAUCAUUGUUGGUUAUUUUCUAUUGUAUUUUUAUAAAUUUUCCAUUAACUCCUUUUCCUUUUUUUACAUAUUUUUUUUUUGUUUUCACUUUUUUCUUUGUUUUAAAAUUUUCUAUAAAACUUUUUUUCUUUUUGUUUUAUUUCAUAUUUUUGCCUCUUCAUUUUUUUAUUUUUUCUUGUUUUUCUAAUUUUUUCACAAAUUCUUUUUAUUUCUUGUUUCCAUUUUUUUUUACACUUCCUUAUUUUGUUUUUUUUGUUUAACUUUUCCCUCUGUUAAUUUUGUAUCUUGAUUUUUUUUAUUUUUUUCUUAUUACAUUAUUUUUGCUUGUAUUUUCUAAAUUAAUUUUUUUCUACUUUCUCAUCCCUUUUCAUUUUUGAACUUCUUUUAAUUUUUUAUCUUUGAUUUUUUAUAUCUUAUAUCUUAUUAUUGUUAUAUUUUUUAUUUUUGUUUGUAUUUUGUAAACUUAAUUUUUUUCAUUUUUAUUAGUUUUGUAUUUUUUUUUAAAAUUUUUUGACUCAUUUUUCUUUCCUUACUUCUUUAUUUUUUUAUUUUCUUUUUUUUAUUACUUAUUUUAUCUUUUUCCUUUUGCUUUAAUACUUUCUCUUAUUUUUUUCCCUUUUACUUUUUUUGUUAAUUUUUGUUAUUUUUUAUAAAAAUUUUAUAAUGUUAUGGAUAUUUACUUUAUAUUUUAAUCUUUUUUCUUUUGGUUUGUCUCAUUUUUGCUGUCAUUUUUAUAUUUUUGGUAUUUUCUAUUCUAUUUUUAUAAUUCUUCAGUAAUUCUUUUUUUCUUUUUCUUUUAACUUAUUUGUUCAUUUGCUUUCUCUUUUUUGUUUUAAUUUUUUUAUAUUUUUGUAUUUAAUUUUUAUUUUUCUUGCUUUUUCUUAUAUCUUUUUGUUCACAUUUUUUUUUAUUUCUUCUUUACAAUUUUAAAAUCUCAAGACUUCUCUUUUUGUGUACUUCCUUUUGCUUUUAUUUAUAUUUUGUAUUGACUUUUUAUUUUAUUUUUUAUCUUUGAUUAUUUGUCUUUUUUUUAUUUUGUUAUAUUUUUUUUGUUUCUCUUUGUAUAUUCUAAACUAAAAGUUUUUUCUAUUUUAUAUUUCAAAUUUUUCUUCACUUCGUCUUUUUAUAUUUUUUUAUUAGCUAAUUUUUUAUUUUCUUCCUUUUUUAUUUUUGUUUAUUUUUUUCUUUUAUAUUAAUAUUUUUAUUUUUAUUUUUUCAUUUUCUUAUUUUGUCUUUUUUUUUUCCUAUUUUUUGUUCUAUUUUAUAACUUUUCAAAAACUUUUUUCCAUCAAAAUUUUCUUUCUUUUUGCUUUUUUUUUUUUCACAUGCUUUCAUUUUUAUUUUAUUUCAUUGUUUUAAUAUUUUUUACUUUCUUGUUUUCUUUUUUAUUUCAAAUCUUUUGUCUUUUCAUUUUAUUCUAUUCUUGCUUUUCUUUUUUUUUUUCCCAAAUUUCUUUUUAUUUCUUAUUUGCGUUUUUAAAUUCUCGUACUUUUUUUUUUCAAUUUCUCCUUUGGUUUUCAUUUUUAUUUUGCAAUAACUUCUCUUUUUUUAAUUUUUUGUCUUUGACUUUUUCUAUUGUUUUCUUGUUAUUUCUUAUAUGUUUUUCAAUUUUUUGUAUUUUUAAAACUAAUUUUUUUUAUUUUGUCAUUCUUUUUCACUUUCUAAAUUUUUAUUCAAUUUUUGUAUUUUUGAUUAAUUAUUUUUUAUUUUCUUACUUUUUAUAUUUUUAUUGUAUUUUUGUUUAUUUUUUAUUUUUUAUUUUUUU
RNAcentral lists this long non-coding RNA (5785 nucleotides) under Durio zibethinus. RNAcentral's name for it is "long non-coding RNA (DZIB_LNC001222)". Lineage: Eukaryota; Viridiplantae; Streptophyta; Magnoliopsida; Malvales; Malvaceae. The record is from RNAcentral.